RNAcentral lists this ribosomal RNA (468 nucleotides) under uncultured bacterium. Its description in RNAcentral is "partial 16S ribosomal RNA". It matches the Rfam family "Bacterial small subunit ribosomal RNA", at positions 28 to 507 of the family's 1533-position model. The record is from RNAcentral.
GACGAACGCUGGCGGCGUGCUUAACACAUGCAAGUCGAACGGAAAGGCCCUGCUUUUGUGGGGUGCUCGAGUGGCGAACGGGUGAGUAACACGUGAGUAACCUGCCCUUGACUUUGGGAUAACUUCAGGAAACUGGGGCUAAUACCGGAUCGGAGCUCCUGCUGCAUGGUGGGGGUUGGAAAGUUUCGGCGGUUGGGGAUGGACUCGCGGCUUAUCAGCUUGUUGGUGGGGUAGUGGCUUACCAAGGCUUUGACGGGUAGCCGGCCUGAGAGGGUGACCGGCAACAUUGGGACUGAGAGACGGCCCAGACUCCUACGGGAGGCAGAAGUGGGGAAUAUUGCACAAUGGGCGGAAGCCUGAUGCAGCAACGCCGCGUGCGGGAUGACGGCCUUCGGGUUGUAAACCGCUUUCGCCUGUGACGAAGCGUGAGUGACGGUAAUGGGUAAAGAAGCACCGGCUAACUACGUG